UGAGUACGAGCUGCUACGGCAGCGAAGUGGGUGAUGUCAAGCUUCCAAGAAAAGCCCUAUACCCGUUAAGGCAUGACGGCCUGUACCCGAAACCGACACAGGUGGGGUGGUAGAGAAUACCUAGGGGCGCGAGAUAACUCUCUCUAAGGAACUCGGCAAAAUGGCCCCGUAACUUCGGGAGAAGGGGUGCCACCGCAAGGUGGUCGCAGUGAAGAGGCCCAGGCGACUGUUUACCAAAAACACAGGUCUCCGCUAAGUCGCAAGACGAUGUAUGGGGGCUGACGCCUGCCCAGUGCCGGAAGGUUAAGGAAGCUGGUCAGCGCAAGCGAAGCUAGCGACUGAAGCCCCGGUGAACGGCGGCCGUAACUAUAACGGUCCUAAGGUAGCGAAAUUCCUUGUCGGGUAAGUUCCGACCCGCACGAAAGGCGUAACGAUCUGGGCGCUGUCUCGGAGAGAGGCUCGGCGAAAUUGAAUUGUCUGUGAAGAUGCGGACUACGUGCACCCGGACAGAAAGACCCUAUGAAGCUUUACUGUAGCUUGGUAUUGUGCCCGGGCUCUGAAUGCGCAGGAUAGGUGGGAGGCUUUGAUCCAUUGCUUGUGGGUAAUGGUGAGCCACUGGUGAGAUACCACUCUUUCAGAGCUAGGGUUCUAACGGUCACCCGUUAUCCGGGGACCGGACAGUAUCAGGUGGGCAGUUUGACUGGGGCGGUCGCCUCCUAAAAGGUAACGGAGGCGCGCAAAGGUCCCUCAGGCUGGUUGGAAAUCAGCCGACGAGUGUAAAGGCAGAAGGGAGCUUGACUGUGAGACCUACAAGUCGAACAGGGACGAAAGUCGGCCUUAGUGAUCCGACGGUUCUGAGUGGAAGGGCCGUCGCUCAACGGAUAAAAGUUGCUCUAGGAUAACAGGCUGAUCUCCCCCAAGAGUUCACAUCGACGGGGAGGUUUGGCACCUCGAUGUCGGCUCAUCGCAACCUGGGGCUGAAGUCGGUCCCAAGGGUUGGGCUGUUCGCCCAUUAAAGCGGUACGCGAGCUGGGUUCAGAACGUCGUGAGACAGUUCGGUCCAUAUCCGGUGCACGCGCAGGAACAUUGAGAGGAUUUCUCCCUAGUACGAGAGGACCGGGAGGAACGCACCUCUGGUGUACCAGUUAUCGUGCCAACGGUAAACGCUGGGUAGCCAUGUGCGGAGCGGAUAACCGCUGAAAGCAUCUAAGUGGGAAGCCCACCUCAAGAUGAGUGUUCCCAUGGCAUAAGCCAGUAAGGUCACGGGAAGAACACCCGUUGAUAGGCUCUACGUGGAAGCGUGGCAACACGUGAAGCGGAGGAGUACUAAUAGACCGAGGGCUU
This 1344-nucleotide ribosomal RNA is filed under the name metagenome. RNAcentral describes it as "bacterial LSU rRNA". It matches the Rfam family "Bacterial large subunit ribosomal RNA", at positions 1564 to 2925 of the family's 2925-position model. The record is from RNAcentral.